ACUCCUACGGGAGGCAGCAGUGGGGAAUAUUGCACAAUGGGGAAACCCUGAUGCAGCCAUGCCGCGUGUGUGAAGAAGGCCUCGGUUGUAAAGCACUUCAGUAGGGAGGAAGGUAGUGUAGUUAACACCUGCAUUAUUUGACGUUACCUACAGAAGAAGCACCGGCUAACUCCGUGCCAGCAGCCGCGGUAAUACGGAGGGGUGCGAGCGUUAAUCGGAAUUACUGGGCGUAAAGCGCAUGCAGGCGGCCUGUUAAGUCAGAUGUGAAAGCCCGGGGGCUUAACCUCGGAAUUGCAUUUGAAACUGGCAGGCUAGAGUCUUGUAGAGGGGGUAGAAUUUCAGGUGUAGCGGUGAAAUGCGUAGAGAUCUGAAGGAAUACCAGUGGCGAAGGCGGCCCCCUGGACAAAGACUGACGCUCAGAUGCGAAAGCGUGGGGAGCAAACAGGAUUAGAUACCCUGGUAGACUGUCA
This 470-nucleotide ribosomal RNA is filed under the name uncultured bacterium. RNAcentral describes it as "bacterial SSU rRNA". It matches the Rfam family "Bacterial small subunit ribosomal RNA", at positions 335 to 802 of the family's 1533-position model. The record is from RNAcentral.